CUUCAAAUAUUAAUUACUGAACCUCAAAUAUUAUUGUUAAGUUUUAGAAAAAAACUUAAAAAUACCAUCUAAAUAGUUUCACACUUUCUCACUUUAAUAUCACGUAGUUUAAAAAUAUAUUAAUUUAGUGCCAUAUAAUUUUAUUUUUAUUUUUUUAUUAUUGAUUUUACUAAAUUUUUUAUUAAAUUAGUGAUAAAGUUAAAACUAAAGAAUACUAAAGUGAAUAUGGUUUUAUUUUUAGUGUCAUAUGGUUUUAUUUUUAUUUUUUUAUUAUCGAUUCCACUAAUUUUUUUUGUUAAAUUAGUGAUAAAGUUAAAACUAAAGAAUACUAAAGUGAAUAUUCGAUAAACCUAAAUGGGGUACAUGAAGUUUUUUGUGUAUAGUUUAACGAAAUAUUAACGAAAAAGCUGACAAAAAGAAAAAAAAAAAUGAAACUACUUGACACUAACUUGAUACACUUUAAACCACAUGACAUUAAAAUGAUAAAAUACGGAACCACAGGGGUGGUAUUUGAAGUUUACCUAAUAUUUUUAAUUUUUAAAUUAGU
This 547-nucleotide long non-coding RNA is filed under the name Ananas comosus (pineapple). RNAcentral describes it as "long non-coding RNA (ACOM_LNC015522)". Lineage: Eukaryota; Viridiplantae; Streptophyta; Magnoliopsida; Poales; Bromeliaceae. The record is from RNAcentral.